Molecule: long non-coding RNA, 2276 nt
Filed under: Piliocolobus tephrosceles (Ugandan red Colobus)
Lineage: Eukaryota; Metazoa; Chordata; Mammalia; Primates; Cercopithecidae
Description: lncRNA (ENSPTEG00000002411.1)
Source: RNAcentral
UUUAAUGCGUAGUAAUUUUAAUGCGUAUUAAUUUUAAUGCAUAAUAAUUUUAAUGCGUAAUAAUUUUUUUUUAAACUAUAUACCGCUCCAUCUUUUGUUUGCCAUUUUUUUUAUUCUAUUUUUACCUUUUUUUACCCUUUUUUACUUUUUUUUUUUUUUUUUUUUUUUUUUUUUUUUUUUUUUUUUUUUUUUUGUCCAAGUCCUGUACGGAUAACAAACACAAAACAAGCAAAGAAAGGUUACAGAAAUUGUUUAAUAAUGAGAUCGAAGUAAAAGAUUUAAUGCGUUUCUAUUUAUUCUAUAGUGACUACUGUAAAAAUAAAAAAAGGAAAAUAAAAAGAUCUAUAAGAGUAGGUAAGCAACAGAUUGGUAAUAUAAAACAACCAUCAGGUACAAGAGGCAAAAAAAAAAUACAAAGUAGUGUAUCAUAUAAUAAAUAUAGUAACACAUAUCAUGUAAAAGCGGGUGAUAGUUACGGUAGUGUCACUGUUAAUGACAGUUGUGGUGCCAGUUGCAAUCGUAACUGUAAUUUUGAGUGUUGCGGUAGUAGUAACAGUAGUAUUAACAGCAGUAUUAACAGCUCUGAUAUAGAAAACAUGAUAAAAAAUAGAGAAAAUAAAAAAGAAAAAUUAGAAUCCAAUUUUUAUAAAGAUAAAAAAGAUAUACAUAAAUGCUUAACAAAAAAAAGUUGUAUUGAACUAAUUUUUUUAAUUCUUUAUAUUAUAAAUAAUUUUUUUCAAAUUAAUAAAUACAACUUAUAUUUUGCUAAUAUAAAAAUAUAUUAUGAAAAAGGGAAAGAAAAAAAAAAAAAAGUUCAUAACGAGUUGGAUAAAUGUUGUUCUUCUAUUAAUUGUUCGCGUAGACCCGACAAUAGUCAUACUCUUGACGUCAGUACUGACUUGCAUAAAGAUAGUGAAGAGUAUUGUACUAGUAAACCGGAUAAUAUUACUAAAGCAAAUGACACAACUUCUCCUACAUCAGAACCUCCUUUACCAACACCAUCCUCAUGGUCACCCGUAAUUGACAAUAUGGAUAGUACCAAAGUGAAAAAAGAAGAAAAAAGUAAAAGUGUAACAAAAAGAUGUUAUAGUGAAUUUGAAAACAAUAAAGAAGGAGGAGAAAGAGAAAAAGCGAAUAAAAAUACAUAUGACUACAUAAACGAAGCAAAGAUGCACAAAAAAAUAAACAAAUCGAUGGUUCAUAAAACGGCAGAAUUAUAUAAAAUGCAUGAAAUUGUAGAUGAUUAUUGUACUGAUGUUGUUAUUACUACUAAUGAAAAUACUGUUACUAGUAGCACUAAUAAUGGUGAUAGUAUAAAAACAGAUGCUACAAAAGAAAUAAUAAACGAUUCUAACAUAAUAAGUAUAAAAAGUAAACAUAAUUGGAACAAUGAUAAUUUAAAAAAUGAUACUGAUGAAAAUGUUAUAGCGCUUAAAGACAAUAAAGAGAAUAACAAAAAAAUAGAAAAUAAAAAAAGUAAUACUAAUAUUUUUAAUAAUAACAUCGGUAAUACAUAUACUUUUAAGGAUGGGUAUAGUAGCGAUAAUAGUAGUCAUAACGACACAGACACAUCGAGUUUACCUAAUGACACAUAUGUAACUAACUACUGUAAAGAUACAAAAGUAUAUAACGGGAGUAGUGAAAAUAUACAGGAUAAAAAUGGUGAUGAAUCAAAGAAAUGUAAUUAUAAAGAAGAAGUAAAAAAAAUAUACCAUGAUAUUAAAAACGAAAUGUAUAAAAAUAUGAAAAAAAUAUUUCAAAAAAAAGCAAUAAAAAAAAAUAACUAUAAAUUAAUGCAUUAUUUUGACUUAAGUAGGUUUCUUAGUUUUUUUGAAACAAUUUUUUUUAAAAAUUUUGAAAAUAUAUUAUAUCAUGAAAUUAUCGUUGAAAAUAUAUAUCUGAAUAUGUUUAUUUGUAUUGAUAUAUUAAAUUAUGAAUUAAAUGAAAAAAAUCAAAUUUCUCUUAAAUAUAUAUUUUUUCCUUUGCCAUUUUUACAUAAACAAAAUAAAUAUAAAAUGGUAGCUCAAUUAGAUAUUAAUAAUAAUUUAAUUAUUAAAUCUAAAAAAAAGCAAUUUUUUAAUAAAAAAAAUAUAUCUUUUUGCAUUCGUUGUAAUAAUUAUACAUACAACAAAGAACUAAACUAUCAAAAAAAUAAUCACAUAUUAGGUAAACUAAAUGAAAACAACAAAGUGUUGAAAGGAACGGUUGAGGAUGUAUUAUGUGAUUGUCCUAAUGGUUAUGAUGAUGUAAAUGCAAGCGUGAAUAAAUAUAAUAGU